RNAcentral lists this ribosomal RNA (253 nucleotides) under uncultured bacterium. Its description in RNAcentral is "partial 16S ribosomal RNA". It matches the Rfam family "Bacterial small subunit ribosomal RNA", at positions 524 to 776 of the family's 1533-position model. The record is from RNAcentral.
UACGUAGGGAGCAAGCGUUGUCCGGAAUCAUUGGGCGUAAAGCGCGCGUAGGCGGCCCUGUAAGUCCGUUGUGAAAGUCAAAGGCUCAACCUUUGAAAGCCGAUGGAUACUGCCGGGCUAGAGUCCGGAAGAGGCGAGUGGAAUUCCUGGUGUAGCGGUGGAAUGCGCAGAUAUCAGGAGGAACACCAACAGCGAAGGCAGCUCGCUGGGACGGUACUGACGCUGAGGCGCGAAAGCGUGGGGAGCGAACAGG